This 772-nucleotide ribosomal RNA is filed under the name uncultured bacterium. Its description in RNAcentral is "bacterial SSU rRNA". It matches the Rfam family "Bacterial small subunit ribosomal RNA", at positions 22 to 807 of the family's 1533-position model. The record is from RNAcentral.
GCUCAGGACGAACGCUGGCGGCGCGCCUAACACAUGCAAGUCGAACGGAGCUUAGAGAGCUUGCUUUUUAAGCUUAGUGGCGAACGGGUGAGUAACGCGUGAGUAACCUGCCCUAGAGUGGGGGACAACAGUUGGAAACGACUGCUAAUACCGCAUAAGCCCACGGUGCCGCAUGACACUGAGGGAAAAGGAUUUAUUCGCUUUAGGAUGGACUCGCGUCCAAUUAGCUAGUUGGUGAGGUAACGGCCCACCAAGGCGACGAUUGGUAGCCGGACUGAGAGGUUGAACGGCCACAUUGGGACUGAGACACGGCCCAGACUCCUACGGGAGGCAGCAGUGGGGGAUAUUGCACAAUGGGGGAAACCCUGAUGCAGCGACGCCGCGUGGAGGAAGAAGGUUUUCGGAUUGUAAACUCCUGUCGUUAGGGACGAUAAUGACGGUACCUAACAAGAAAGCACCGGCUAACUACGUGCCAGCAGCCGCGGUAAAACGUAGGGUGCAAGCGUUGUCCGGAAUUACUGGGUGUAAAGGGAGCGCAGGCGGGAAGACAAGUUGGAAGUGAAAACCAUGGGCUCAACCCAUGAAUUGCUUUCAAAACUGUUUUUCUUGAGUAGUGCAGAGGUAGAUGGAAUUCCCGGUGUAGCGGUGGAAUGCGUAGAUAUCGGGAGGAACACCAGUGGCGAAGGCGGUCUACUGGGCACCAACUGACGCUGAGGCUCGAAAGCAUGGGUAGCAAACAGGAUUAGAUACCCUGGUAGUCCAUGCCGUAAAC